GGAACAAAGUGAGGCCAGUGGGGCACCUAUUGACUGAAGAUGGAACAAAAUUGCUCCCGUGAACAUCAAGGAGUCACGGCUCUUCAAGGAAGAUGUUGAGAGCAUCAGCGGACAUGUGCAGGUAUAGAAAUAGAAGCAAGGGCUUCAGCUUGCCACCGCAUGGAGCCUGACAAGGAGCUGCUGGCCCGGCAAAGUCUGGAGCAGACUUGGCAGGAGAAUAAUCCCAUUUUGUGGCACCUUUGCUGAGGUUCCAGAAUCUAUUUUUUACCCAGCCUGGAAGAAAGCAGAAUUUCUGACCACUUUUGUGGAAACAAACAGUUUGUUUGAAUCCUGCUGGGUAGUGAUUAAGAUCUGUAAAAUCCAAAAUAAAAUCUGUGCUUUACCUAAUUCAGAACAGAGUUUGUUUUUCUUCUUUUUCUUAAAUCACUCCAAGUCUGACAGAGCAUGAAUUUCACAGUCCAGGGUUUUUGCUGUUCACAGCAGAAUAUCUGUAUCUGUUUUCCUCUGUGAGAAAAUAUUCUGAUUUAAUGAAACAGAAAAUACGAAAAAGCUCCAUCCAGCAGAUUGAAAGAUGCUUUCCCAGGGUUGAGUACCACCAAAUGAGAGAGCUGAUUUUUCCAAGCCAGCUCAAUCUUUGUAUUUCAGGGAUGGUAGAUAAAAAAUAGUUAGAGUUAAAUCAGAUUUUAACUUAUAUCUGAUUUAAGUAUGCUUACUUAAAAAUUAAAUCUAAUUAAAAUUGCAUUUGAAAUUAUAAUAAUUUAUAUCAAUGUCUAACAUUACUAUAUAUUCUAUUAAAACAAUGUAAUAAAAACAAAAAAUAAAGCAGUACAUAGUUGCCAUCAAAGUUUAAAAUAGAGUAAAGUUCCUGAAACUGUGUGAAUUUUUUAACUAAAUGACUGGGCCUAGAGUUUGCUGAAGUGAUAAAAUAGCUUUUGAUAGCCAUGACUUCUUUUGAAGACUCAUAGAAUGUUUUGUUCUUUUUACUGUAUUUAUUUCAGUGUAGUUCCUUCCAAAGAAUACUUAAGUAAUAAUAGAAAAAGCAACUGGAAGUUUAAAAAGCAGAAAUACUCGCUUGGUUCCUUUGGCCUAUGCUCACAAACUAGAAUACUGUCAAGAAGAGAGCAGAGCUGCAGUCGUUUCAGAUCUGACAGACACAAACUACUGCUACAGCAGAGCAAAAUGAGGCCUUGAAACAGGAUAUGGAAAGUUAAGCACACAGAUUAAGAAAAAGAUGCAGGUAAAAUUCAUACACUCAUGCAGAAGAUCACCGAACUGAGAGAUGAUGUGUACUACAACUUCUGAAGCCCUGACAGAAGAAGCAGAGGAAUGCAGUGAAACACCAAAGAAGCAAGUGGACAAUUAGAUAAUUAUUAGAAAGUGAGUGGAGGACAGAAAGUUCAGAGGUUACCAUGAGGUCAAUGCACUACAGUAUAACACAUUCACCUGGGAAAUGGGUGUUUGUCAAGAGAUAACUCUACCAAAAGGUAGUGAGCCAGAACUCCUACUGCUGUUGUCCUGCUUGUUCUGGCAGCAUCAGGGAGGGAGAAAAGGGAUUUUAUAGAGGAGAAACAGGUACUGUCACUGGGAUAAGGCUGUGGACUGUGUCCUCAAAUGUUUCAUAAAGUGCAGAGACCAAGCUGAGUUUCCAAUGUGACUAGAGGUGACUAGAGAAAGGUUUACAGAGCAAGUUAGGUUGAGAUGUGUGACUACAGAUAAUUCUGCCUUAAAAAGAAGCUAUCAGUAGCUGCUUUUGCAUUCAGAAUUCACUAAAAUGGGAAAAAAAUUGUUGCACAGCUCAGUGGACAUCCAGUGGAUAACACAGGUAGCUGAAAGGGUAGCAGCUCCUGGGAAAUGAUGGAGAAAACUGUAAUGGUAUCCUUCCUCCUAAGUAACAUUGAAGAAGGACCUCAGGAUGCUGCCGAGCCUUGUGGAGAAUGAGUUUCGUUAGGAAGGCAAUGUGUGUACUUUGGCCUGAUCUUUCCCCAGAACCGGUAGCAAAUAUGCAUUUUUUUAAACUUUGUGAGCUUUUUACCCCAGGGUGUCCAGGUGGGACCAAAUAUAGAAUAAAUCUCUUCAAGCUGUUCA
This 2085-nucleotide long non-coding RNA is filed under the name Apteryx rowi (Okarito brown kiwi). RNAcentral describes it as "lncRNA (ENSARWG00000007086.1)". The record is from RNAcentral. Lineage: Eukaryota; Metazoa; Chordata; Aves; Apterygiformes; Apterygidae.